This 756-nucleotide ribosomal RNA is filed under the name uncultured bacterium. Its description in RNAcentral is "bacterial SSU rRNA". It matches the Rfam family "Bacterial small subunit ribosomal RNA", at positions 8 to 796 of the family's 1533-position model. The record is from RNAcentral.
AGAGUUUGAUCAUGGCUCAGAAUCAACGCUGGCGGCGUGCCUAACACAUGCAAGUCGCACGAGAAAGUGGAGCAAUCCAUGAGUACAGUGGCGCACGGGUGAGUAACACGUGAAUCAUCUACCUUCGAGUGGGGAAUAACUGAGAGAAAUCUUGGCUAAUACCGCAUAAUACCUACGGGUCAAAGCAGCAAUGCGCUUGAAGAGGAGUUCGCGGCAGAUUAGUUAGUUGGCGGGGUAAUGGCCCACCAAGACGAUGAUCGGUAUCCGGCCUGAGAGGGCGCACGGACACACUGGAACUGAAACACGGUCCAGACUCCUACGGGAGGCAGCAGUGGGGAAUUUUGCGCAAUGGGGGAAACCCUGACGCAGCAACGCCGCGUGGAGGAUGAAGUAUCUUGGUACGUAAACUCCUUUCGAUGGGGAAGAUAAUGACGGUACCCAUAGAAGAAGCCCCGGCUAACUUCGUGCCAGCAGCCGCGGUAAUACGAGGGGGGCAAGCGUUGUUCGGAAUUAUUGGGCGUAAAGGGUGCGUAGGCGGUUUGAUAAGUCUGAUGUGAAAUCUCUGGGCUCAACCCAGAGUCUGCAUUAGAAACUGUCGGGCUUGAGUAUGGGAGAGGUGAGUGGAAUUUCCGGUGUAGCGGUGAAAUGCGUAGAUAUCGGAAGGAACACCUGUGGCGAAAGCGGCUCACUGGACCAUAACUGACGCUGAGGCACGAAAGCUAGGGGAGCAAACAGGAUUAGAUACCCUAGUAGUCC